GGGGACGUGGCCAAGCCAGGGAUGGCGACUGACUCCAGAGGCCACGCGCCCGGGACGACACUCCAGACUGAUAUACCGAGCGACCGACUGAUCAUCGGCUCGCGUUGACGACCCUCUGGAGUUCCGAGGCGCAGACCGGAGAUAUCAGUCGAUCGGGGGUUCAAAUCCCUCCGUCCCCA
This 179-nucleotide transfer RNA is filed under the name Halohasta litchfieldiae. Its description in RNAcentral is "Halobacteriaceae archaeon tADL tRNA". It matches the Rfam family "tRNA". Rfam says of the family: Transfer RNA (tRNA) molecules are approximately 80 nucleotides in length. Their secondary structure includes four short double-helical elements and three loops (D, anti-codon, and T loops). Lineage: Archaea; Methanobacteriati; Methanobacteriota; Halobacteria; Halobacteriales; Haloferacaceae. The record is from Rfam by way of RNAcentral.